This 897-nucleotide ribosomal RNA is filed under the name Bacillus subtilis. Its description in RNAcentral is "bacterial SSU rRNA". It matches the Rfam family "Bacterial small subunit ribosomal RNA", at positions 50 to 929 of the family's 1533-position model. Lineage: Bacteria; Bacillati; Bacillota; Bacilli; Caryophanales; Bacillaceae. The record is from RNAcentral.
UAUACAUGCAGUCGAGCGGACAGAUGGGAGCUUGCUCCCUGAUGUUAGCGGCGGACGGGUGAGUAACACGUGGGUAACCUGCCUGUAAGACUGGGAUAACUCCGGGAAACCGGGGCUAAUACCGGAUGGUUGUUUGAACCGCAUGGUUCAAACAUAAAAGGUGGCUUCGGCUACCACUUACAGAUGGACCCGCGGCGCAUUAGCUAGUUGGUGAGGUAACGGCUCACCAAGGCAACGAUGCGUAGCCGACCUGAGAGGGUGAUCGGCCACACUGGGACUGAGACACGGCCCAGACUCCUACGGGAGGCAGCAGUAGGGAAUCUUCCGCAAUGGACGAAAGUCUGACGGAGCAACGCCGCGUGAGUGAUGAAGGUUUUCGGAUCGUAAAGCUCUGUUGUUAGGGAAGAACAAGUACCGUUCGAAUAGGGCGGUACCUUGACGGUACCUAACCAGAAAGCCACGGCUAACUACGUGCCAGCAGCCGCGGUAAUACGUAGGUGGCAAGCGUUGUCCGGAAUUAUUGGGCGUAAAGGGCUCGCAGGCGGUUUCUUAAGUCUGAUGUGAAAGCCCCCGGCUCAACCGGGGAGGGUCAUUGGAAACUGGGGAACUUGAGUGCAGAAGAGGAGAGUGGAAUUCCACGUGUAGCGGUGAAAUGCGUAGAGAUGUGGAGGAACACCAGUGGCGAAGGCGACUCUCUGGUCUGUAACUGACGCUGAGGAGCGAAAGCGUGGGGAGCGAACAGGAUUAGAUACCCUGGUAGUCCACGCCGUAAACGAUGAGUGCUAAGUGUUAGGGGGUUUCCGCCCCUUAGUGCUGCAGCUAACGCAUUAAGCACUCCGCCUGGGGAGUACGGUCGCAAGACUGAAACUCAAAGGAAUUGACGGGGGCCCGCACAAG